GACGAACGCUGGCGGCGUGCCUAAUACAUGCAAGUCGACCUUAGUGACGAACGGGUGAUUAACACGUGGGUAACCUGCCCAGCCGAAGGGGAUAACACUUGGAAACAGGUGCUAAUACCGUAUACUGAUGGAUGGACCCGAGGUGCAUUAGCUAGUUGGUGAGGUAACGGCUCACCAAGGCCACGAUGCAUAGCUGCCCUGAGAGGAUGAUCAGUCACACUGGGACUGAGACACGGCCCAGCCUCCUACGGGAGGCAGCAGUAGGUAAUAUUCGGCAAUGGACGCAAGUCUGACCCAGCCACGCCGCGUGGAUGAAGAAGGUUUUCGGGUUGUAAAACUCUUUUGUUAGAGAAGCGGUAUCUAACCAGUAAGCCACGGCUAACUACGUGCCAGCCGCCGCGGUAAUAC
Molecule: ribosomal RNA, 408 nt
Filed under: uncultured bacterium
Lineage: Bacteria
Description: partial 16S ribosomal RNA
Rfam family: Bacterial small subunit ribosomal RNA
Source: RNAcentral